GAUGAACGCUGGCGGCGUGCCUAAUACAUGCAAGUCGAGCGAACGGACGAGAAGCUUGCUUCUCUGAUGUUAGCGGCGGACGGGUGAGUAACACGUGGAUAACCUACCUAUAAGACUGGGAUAACUUCGGGAAACCGGAGCUAAUACCGGAUAAUAUCUUGAACCGCAUGGUUCAAAAGUGAAAGACGGUCUUGCUGUCACUUAUAGAAGGAUCCGCGCUGCAUUAGCUAGUUGGUAAGGUAACGGCUUACCAAGGCAACGAUGCAUAGCCGACCUGAGAGGGUGGUCGGCCACCCUGGAACUGAGACACGGACCAGACUCCUACGGGAGGCAGCAGUAGGGAAUCUUCCGCAAUGGGCGAAAGCCUGACGGAGCAACGCCGCGUGAGUGAUGAAGGUCUUCGGAUCGUAAAACUCUGUUAUUAGGGAAGAACAUAUGUGUAAGUAACUGUGCACAUCUUGACGGUACCUAAUCAGAAAGCCACGGCUAACUACGUG
Molecule: ribosomal RNA, 497 nt
Filed under: uncultured bacterium
Lineage: Bacteria
Description: partial 16S ribosomal RNA
Rfam family: Bacterial small subunit ribosomal RNA
Source: RNAcentral